GACGAACGCUGGCGGCGUGCUUAACACAUGCAAGUCGAGCGGAAAGGCCCUUUCGGGGGUACUCGAGCGGCGAACGGGUGAGUAACACGUGAGUAAUCUGCCCUGUACUCUGGGAUAGCCUUGGGAAACUGAGAUUAAUACCGGAUAUGACAUGUGCCUGCAUGGGUGUGUGUGGAAAGUUUUUUCGGUACAGGAUGUGCUCGCGGCCUAUCAGCUUGUUGGUGAGGUAAUGGCUCACCAAGGCUUCGACGGGUAGCCGGCCUGAGAGGGUGACCGGCCACACUGGGACUGAGACACGGCCCAGACUCCUACGGGAGGCAGCAGUGGGGAAUAUUGGACAAUGGGCGGAAGCCUGAUCCAGCAACGCCGCGUGAGGGAUGACGGCCUUCGGGUUGUAAACCUCUUUCAGCACAGACGAAGCGCAAGUGACGGUAUGUGCAGAAGAAGGACCGGCCAACUACGUGCCAGCCGCCGCCGUAAAAC
RNAcentral lists this ribosomal RNA (483 nucleotides) under uncultured bacterium. RNAcentral describes it as "bacterial SSU rRNA". It matches the Rfam family "Bacterial small subunit ribosomal RNA", at positions 28 to 526 of the family's 1533-position model. The record is from RNAcentral.